RNAcentral lists this ribosomal RNA (468 nucleotides) under uncultured bacterium. Its description in RNAcentral is "partial 16S ribosomal RNA". It matches the Rfam family "Bacterial small subunit ribosomal RNA", at positions 28 to 507 of the family's 1533-position model. The record is from RNAcentral.
GACGAACGCUGGCGGCGUGCUUAACACAUGCAAGUCGAACGGAAAGGCCCUGCUUUUGUGGGGUGCUCGAGUGGCGAACGGGUGAGUAACACGUGAGUAACCUGCCCUUGACUUUGGGAUAACUUCAGGAAACUGGGGCUAAUACCGGAUAGGAGCUCCUGCUGCAUGGUGGGGGUUGGAAAGUUUCGGCGGUUGGGGAUGGACUCGCGGCUUAUCAGCUUGUUGGUGGGGUAGUGGCUUACCAAGGCUUUGACGGGUAGCCGGCCUGAGAGGGUGACCGGCCACAUUGGGACUGAGAUACGGCCCAGACUCCUACGGAAGGCAGCAGUGGGGAAUAUUGCACAAUGGGCGGAAGCCUGAUGCAGCAACGCCGCGUGCGGGAUAACGGCCUUCGGGUUGUAAACCGCUUUCGCCUGUGACGAAGCGUGAGUGACGGUAAUGGGUAAAGAAGCACCGGCUAACUACGUG